GAUGAACGCUGGCGGCGUGCCUAAUACAUGCAAGUCGAGCGAACGGACGAGAAGCUUGCUUUUCUGAUGUUAGCGGCGGACGGGUGAGUAACACGUGUAUAACCUACCUAUAAGACUGGGAUAACUUCGGGAAACCGGAUCUUAUACCGGAUAAUAUUUUGAACCGCAUGGUUCAAAAGUUAAAUACGUUCUUGCUGUCACUUAUAGAUGUAUCCGCGCUGCAUUCGCUAGUUGUUAAGGUAACGGCUUACCAAGGCAACGAUGCAUAGCCGACCGGAGAGGGUGAUUGGCCAGACUGGAACUGAGAAAGGGUACAGACACCUACGGGAGGCAGCAGUAGGGAAUCUUACGGAAUGGGCGAAAGCGGGAAGGAGCAAAGCGGAGUGAGGGAUGAAGGAGUAAGGAUGGUAAAACUAUGUUAUUAGGGAAGAAGAAAAGUGUAAGUAACUGUGAACAUAAUGACGGUACCUAAAGAGAAAGCCACGGCUAACUACGUG
RNAcentral lists this ribosomal RNA (497 nucleotides) under uncultured bacterium. Its description in RNAcentral is "partial 16S ribosomal RNA". It matches the Rfam family "Bacterial small subunit ribosomal RNA", at positions 28 to 507 of the family's 1533-position model. The record is from RNAcentral.